AGAGCAUAAGGUGAAUGCCUUGGCAUCAGGAGCCGAAGAAGGACGUGACAAGCUGCGAAAAGCUGCGGGGAGCUGCAAAUAAGCAUUGAUCCGCAGAUAUCCGAAUGAGGGAACUCCCAUGAUGAAGAAUCAUGGAACGUGCAAUGAAUCCAUAGUUGCACGUGGGGAACCCGGGGAACUGAAACAUCUAAGUACCCGGAGGAAGAGAAAUCAAACGAGAUUCUGCGAGUAGUGGCGAGCGAAAGCGGAAGAGGCUAAACCGUAUGUAGAAAUACAUACGGGGUAUGGACUGCAAAAAGUGACUGUGGCGCAUAGCGGAACGGCGUGGGAAAGCCGACCGAAGAAAGUGAGAGUCUUGUAUGCGAAAUGCAAAGCAGAGCGAGCAGUAUCCGAAGUAUCAGCGGACACGAGGAAUCCGGUGAGAAGACGGGGGGACCACCCUCCAAGCCUAAAUACUACCUGAUGACCGAUAGAGAAGCAGUACUGUGAAGGAAAGGUGAAAAGAACCCCGGGAGGGGAGUGAAAGAGAACCUGAAACCUUAUGUUUACAAGCACACAAAGCACGUUAAGGUGCGAUGUGGUACUUUUUGUAGAACGGUCCGGCGAGUUAUAGUAUGCAGCGAGGUUAAGUGAUUCAGUCACGGAGCCGAAGGGAAACCGAGUGUGAAGAGCACGGUAGUUGUAUGUUAUAGACCCGAAACCGGGUGACCUAUCCAUGAGCAGGUUGAAGUUGAGGUAAAACUCAAUGGAGGACCGAACCGACCCCCGUUGAAAAGUUGGCGGAUGACUUGUGGAUAGCGGAGAAAUUCCAAUCGAACCCGGAUAUAGCUGGUUCUCCCCGAAAUAGCUUUAGGGCUAGCCUUGGAUAUAUUUACCGGAGGUAAAGCACUGAAUAAAGGAGGGGCCGAGAGGUUACCGAAUUUUAUCAAACUAAGAAUGCCGGUUAAAUGAGUCCAGGAGUCAGACUACGUGAGAUAAGUCUCGUGGUCGAAAGGGAAACAGCCCAGACCUGCAGCUAAGGUCCCAAAUAUACGCUAAGUGGAAAAGGAUGUGACAAUGCUAAGACAACUAGGACGUUGGCUUAGAAGCAGCCACUCAUUCAAAGAGUGCGUAAUAGCUCACUAGUCGAGUGAUGUUGCGCCGAAGAUUCAACGGGGCUAAGCGUAUAACCGAAGCUCAGGAUACCUUUGGGUAUGGUAGGGGAGCGUUGUGUACAGGGAGAAGCGAUACCGGAAGGAGUCGUGGACAGUACAGAAGUGAGAAUGCCGGAAUGAGUAGCGAGAAUUGCGUGAGAAUCGUAAUGGCCGAAAAUCUAAGGUUUCCGGGGGUAGGUUCGUCCGCCCCGGGUAAGCCGGGAGCUAAGGCGAGGCCGAAAGGCGUAGUCGAUGCACAUACGGUAGAGAUUCCGUAGCCGCUGAAGAACUUAAGUAUGCUGACACGAAUGCAGAGUUUAUCCCGACGGAUGGUAGAGUCGGGCGUAAGGGACUGAAAUUAUAGUAAGGAAGUAAACGAAGCAGGCGGCGAGAAAAGGCAUACGGUAUGUUCAAAGCGCCCGUACCGCAAACCGACACAGGUAGAUGAGGAGAGAAUCCUAAGGCCAACGGGAGAAGGGUUGUUAAGGAACUCGGCAUAUUGACCCCGUAACUUCGGAAGAAGGGGUGCCUCCGCAAGGAGGCCGCAGUGAAAAGGCCCAGGCGACUGUUUAACAAAAACACAGGUCUCUGCAAAACCGAAAGGUGAAGUAUAGGGGCUGACGCCUGCCCGGUGCUGGAAGGUCAAGGGGAUUGCUUAGCGCAAGCGAAGGCAAGAACUUAAGCCCCAGUAAACGGCGGCCGUAACUAUAACGGUCCUAAGGUAGCGAAAUUCCUUGUCAGGUAAGUUCUGACCCGCACGAAAGGCGUAACGAUCUGGGCACUGUCUCAACAGCCCGCCCGGCGAAAUUGUAGUACCGGUGAAGAUGCCGGUUACCCGCGACUAGACGGAAAGACCCCAUGGAGCUUUACUGUAGUUUGAUACUGAAAUUUGAUUCAUUAUGUACAGGAUAGGUGGGAGACAGGGAAGCAAUCUCGUCAGGGGUUGUGGAGUCGACCUUGGGAUACCACUCUUGAUGAAUCAGAUUUCUAACCUGCUCCCGUGAAUCCGGGAGGGGGACAAUGUCAGAUGGGCAGUUUGACUGGGGCGGUCGCCUCCAAAAGAGUAACGGAGGCGUACAAAGGUCGGCUCAGUGCGGACGGAAAUCGCACAAUGAGUAUAAACGUAGAAGCCGGCCUAACUGCGAGACCUACAAGUCGAGCAGUAACGAAAGUUGGUGUUAGUGAUCAGGUGGUAGUGUGUGGAAAUGCCAUCGCUUAACGGAUAAAAGCUACCCUGGGG
This 2373-nucleotide ribosomal RNA is filed under the name human gut metagenome. Its description in RNAcentral is "bacterial LSU rRNA". It matches the Rfam family "Bacterial large subunit ribosomal RNA", at positions 14 to 2473 of the family's 2925-position model. The record is from RNAcentral.